RNAcentral lists this ribosomal RNA (500 nucleotides) under uncultured bacterium. RNAcentral's name for it is "partial 16S ribosomal RNA". It matches the Rfam family "Bacterial small subunit ribosomal RNA", at positions 29 to 523 of the family's 1533-position model. The record is from RNAcentral.
AUUGAACGCUGGCGGCAUGCCUUACACAUGCAAGUCGAAUGGCAGCACGGGAGCAAUCCUGGUGGCGAGUGGCGAACGGGUGAGUAAAGUAUCGGAACGUGCCCAGUCGUGGGGGAUAACGUAGCGAAAGUUACGCUAAUACCGCAUACGAUCUAUGGAUGAAAGCGGGGGAUCGCAAGACCUCGCGCGAUUGGAGCGGCCGAUAUCAGGUUAGGUAGUUGGUGGGGUAAAGGCGCACCAAGCCGACGACAUGUAGCUGGUCUGAGAGGACGGCCAGCCGGAAGGGGAAUGAGCCACGGACCAGACUCCCACGGGAGGCAGCAGUGGGCAAUGUUGGAAAAGGGGCGGAAGCCUGAUCCAGCCAGGCCGAGGGCUGGAUGAAGGCCUUCGGGUUGUAAACUGCUUUUGUACGGAACGAAAAGGUUUGGCCUAAUAAGCUGAGCUCAUGACGGUACCGUAAGAAUAAGCACCGGCUAACUACGUGCCAGCAGCCGCCGUAA